UGCACUCCCCGCGGGGGUCCCGGUUCUCAUCCCUCUGGGGACCUGCAAGGAGCCCCGCCCGCGGGGUUUGAACCGCUUGCUGCUCAGCGUCCAGGAGCAGGCCCCGCGUAGGGCCGGGGAGGGGCCUUCGGAAUUCAGGUGCUUCUGCGGGGCCCAAAGCCCCCAGGGCAGGCGGGGACUGAGACGACUGAGGAGUGAGGGACAAGGAGGCUGGGACUGGGGAGGGGAGACCCGGGAUCCGCCCAGAAUGCUUUCGUGGGGUUGGAGAGGGCAGGACACAGCCUCUUCCGGCCCGGUAGGAUCCGAAGACACGCAUCAAAUGCAAACGGAUUCCCGUCCUGGACUUUGGGAAUUAAGGCCCUGAACGCAGUCAGCAAAAAAGUAGAUCUGUCUGUACAGACGUUUCUUUCCACGUCUCUCAUAGUAAGGGCUUUAUUAAAAAGCAGGGACUCGAAUCCUAGGGACAGCCACUGGAAGGCAUUAGGAGUAUGGAACCUGGAUUUUCAGAGCAGUGGCAGGAUGAAGACUUUCCUGGAUACUCAGGCACAAUGCAUUCAGGCUGAAGGCUGCAGUCCUCUUUCUUCAUUACUAUAGGAAUGUUGGUCACCUGAAGCAACCGCAGGUUCCUGGGUUAGGCUGAACUGGUAACUGGAGAGAAUUUUAUAUUGUGUCAGCUCAUCCUCCUCCACCUACUUUCUGGACCUUGGUUAUCCAGAUCUUACUAGGUCUGGAACCCUUCUGAAGACUAUUACAGUCCCAGAGGUACUCAACCUCUUCAGAGAUUUAAAAGAAGCUAAAAAAUGAAACGUGUUUCUUAACACCACUGGUAGCUGGUUCUGUAAUCUCCUCACUGCCCUCACAACCGCCAUAGUGGUUAGUAAAAGAUUUAUGGAAAUCUCAAAUCCUAUGGUUUACAGCCAAGGAAAGCCAGAUUUUUUUAAAUUCAUUUUUUCUUACUAGAUGUUAAGUUUAAGAAAAGAAAACAUCCAAAUAUUUUGAUAAUAUUUCCCAUUUUUCAUGUAUUAAAUAUCCACCACUUAUGAAUUUUAAGGUCUUAAGAAUCAUUUUCCUAAUAGUAUUUAGUUUAGUCAAUUUUCAUGUUACUGAAUAAAGAUUAAGUCAUGGAUCACA
Molecule: non-coding RNA, 1131 nt
Organism: Macaca mulatta (Rhesus monkey)
Lineage: Eukaryota; Metazoa; Chordata; Mammalia; Primates; Cercopithecidae
Source: RefSeq, a predicted model, not a curated record